UGGGGCGUCGCCAAGUGGUAAGGCAUCGGGUUUUGGUCCCGACACUCCUAGGUUCGAAUCCUAGCGCCCCAG
Molecule: transfer RNA, 72 nt
Filed under: Leptolyngbyaceae cyanobacterium CSU_1_3
Lineage: Bacteria; Bacillati; Cyanobacteriota; Cyanophyceae; Leptolyngbyales; Leptolyngbyaceae
Description: tRNA-Gln
Rfam family: tRNA
About the family: Transfer RNA (tRNA) molecules are approximately 80 nucleotides in length.
Source: RNAcentral